Molecule: non-coding RNA, 249 nt
Organism: Pelobates cultripes (western spadefoot toad)
Lineage: Eukaryota; Metazoa; Chordata; Amphibia; Anura; Pelobatidae
Source: the annotation of a GenBank genome assembly
GGAUCGACAGACUUUAAAGAGAUCUGUGAAAGUUUGAAUAUAAAUUUGUGUCCUUUUUGCAACAUUCUAUAACUAUCUCAUUAUCGUUGUAUGUAGAAUAAGGGAAAUUUGAAAUUUGCGUUUUGUGUUUGCACAUACGUCCAUGCUGAGUUCUUCACUUGACCUCUUCGUAUUUUUUAUUAGACAUGUUCAUUCUUUGUGCUCGUCCUUAAAUGAGUCGAUUCAUUUGAUAUCGAACCGUAUCAAUAG